This 246-nucleotide ribosomal RNA is filed under the name uncultured bacterium. Its description in RNAcentral is "partial 16S ribosomal RNA". It matches the Rfam family "Bacterial small subunit ribosomal RNA", at positions 334 to 598 of the family's 1533-position model. The record is from RNAcentral.
UUCACCUACGGGACGCAGCAGUGGGGAAUAUUGCACAAUGGGGGAACCCUGAUGCAGCGACGCCGCGUGAGUGAAGAAGUAUUUCGGUACGUAAAGCUCUAGCAGCAGGGAAGAAAAUGACGGUACCUGACUAAGAAGCCCCGGCUAACUACGUGCCAGCAGCCGCGGUAAUACGUAGGGGGCAAGCGUUAUCCGGAUUUACUGGGUGUAAAGGGAGCGUAGACGGCAGCGCAAGUCUGGAGUGAA